UACGUAGGUGGCAAGCGUUGUCCGGAUUUAUUGGGCGUAAAGAGCUCGUAGGCGGUUCGGUAAGUCAGAUGUAAAAACUCCAGGCUCAACUUGGAGAGGCCAUCUGAUACUGCCGUGACUAGAGUCCGGUAGAGGAGCACGGAAUUCCUGGUGUAGCGGUGAAAUGCGCAGAUAUCAGGAGGAACACCAGCGGCGAAGGCGGUGCUCUGGGCCGGAACUGACGCUGAGGAGCGAAAGCGUGGGGAGCGAACAGG
This 254-nucleotide ribosomal RNA is filed under the name uncultured bacterium. Its description in RNAcentral is "partial 16S ribosomal RNA". It matches the Rfam family "Bacterial small subunit ribosomal RNA", at positions 524 to 776 of the family's 1533-position model. The record is from RNAcentral.